AUCAGGCUUUCGCCCAAUUGUGCAAUAUUCCCCACUGACUGCCUCCCGAUAGGAGAUCUGGGCCGUGUCUCAGUCCCAGUGUGGCCGGUCGCCCUCUCAGGCCGGCUACCCGUCGAUCGCCUUGGUAGGCCAUUACCCCACCAACAAGCUGAUAGGCCGCGGGCUCAUCCUUCACCGCCGGAGCUUUUAACCCCGUCCCAUGCGGGACAGAGUGUUAUCCGGUAUUAGACCCCGUUUCCAGGGCUUGUCCCAGAGUGAAGGGCAGAUUGCCCACGUGUUACUCACCCGUUCGCCACUAAUCCACCCCGAAGGGCUUCAUCGUUCGACUUGCAUGUGUUAAGCACGCCGCCAGCGUUCGUCCUGAGCCAGGAUCAAACUCUA
This 381-nucleotide ribosomal RNA is filed under the name Streptomyces flavogriseus. RNAcentral's name for it is "partial 16S ribosomal RNA". The record is from RNAcentral. Lineage: Bacteria; Bacillati; Actinomycetota; Actinomycetes; Kitasatosporales; Streptomycetaceae.